UAACUCAUUCAGUACAUACAGUAAUAACGAAGGUUGACCCAAGGCGAGUUCAAUCCGGGCAAAAACCACACAUAGAGCAAAGAGCAAAUGCUGGCUUGAUCUCGAAGUUCAGUACGCAUAUAAAUAGCGAAACCUCGGCCUAUCAAUCCUUUUAAAGAGUUUUUAACAAG
Molecule: non-coding RNA, 170 nt
Filed under: Megaselia scalaris
Lineage: Eukaryota; Metazoa; Arthropoda; Insecta; Diptera; Phoridae
Description: eukaryotic large subunit ribosomal RNA
Rfam family: Eukaryotic large subunit ribosomal RNA
Source: Rfam by way of RNAcentral